RNAcentral lists this ribosomal RNA (484 nucleotides) under uncultured bacterium. RNAcentral's name for it is "partial 16S ribosomal RNA". It matches the Rfam family "Bacterial small subunit ribosomal RNA", at positions 30 to 507 of the family's 1533-position model. The record is from RNAcentral.
AUUGAACGCUGGCGGCAGGCCUAACACAUGCAAGUCGAGCGGAUGAAGGGAGCUUGCUCCUGGAUUCAGCGGCGGACGGGUGAGUAAUGCCUAGGAAUCUGCCUGGUAGUGGGGGAUAACGUCCGGAAACGGGCGCUAAUACCGCAUACGUCCUGAGGGAGAAAGUGGGGGAUCUUCGGACCUCACGCUAUCAGAUGAGCCUAGGUCGGAUUAGCGAGUUGGUGGGGUAAAGGCCUACCAAGGCGACGAUCCGUAACUGGUCUGAGAGGAUGAUAGGUCACACUGGAAGUGAGACACGGUCCAGACUCCUACGGGAGGCAGCAGUGGGGAAUAUUGGACAAUGGGCGAAAGCCUGAUCCAGCCAUGCCGCGUGUGUGAAGAAGGUCUUCGGAUUGUAAAGCACUUUAAGUUGGGAGGAAGGGCAGUAAGUUAAUACCUUGCUGUUUUGACGUUACCAACAGAAUAAGCACCGGCUAACUUCGUG